This 377-nucleotide ribosomal RNA is filed under the name uncultured bacterium. RNAcentral's name for it is "partial 16S ribosomal RNA". It matches the Rfam family "Bacterial small subunit ribosomal RNA", at positions 338 to 732 of the family's 1533-position model. The record is from RNAcentral.
CCUACGGGUGGCAGCAGUAGGGAAUAUUGCACAAUGGGGGAAACCCUGAUGCAGCGAUGCCGCGUGGAGGAAGAAGGUUUUCGGAUUGUAAACUCCUUUUGUUAGGGACGAUAAUGACGGUACCUGAAGAAAAAGCUCCGGCUAACUCCGUGCCAGCAGCCGCGGUAAUACGGAGGGAGCGAGCGUUGUCCGGAAUUACUGGGAGUAAAGGGAGCGUAGGCGGGACGGCAAGUCAGAUGUGAAAACUGAGGGCUUAACUUUCAUACUGCAUUUGAAACUGUUGUUCUUGAGUGAGGUAGAGGUAAGUGGAAUUCUUAGUGUAGCGGUGAAAUGCGUAGAGAUUAGGAGGAACACUCGUGGCGAAGGCGGCUUACUGG